AUGUCUUCUAAAAGUCUGGUAGUUGUUCUCUUUGACAUCUGGUGGGAGGGUGUUCCACAGGGCGGGUGCCACUACCAAGAAGGCCCUCUACCUGGUUCCCUGUAACUUGGCUUCUCGCAGUGAGGGAAUGGCCAGAAGGCCCUCGGAGCUGGAUCUCAGUGUCCGGGUAGAACAAUGGGGGUGGAGACGCUCCUUCAGGUUCCUACCUUUACAGAUGAAAUGGCUUGCAACUAGGGUACACCAAGGAAUGGUUUCUACCAUUCCACCCAUCUUGCUAGUUAGCAUCUCCCAUGUGCUCUGGCUCUGGGAAGGUCUGAGGCACCUUAUGAGAUCUUCCAUCAAGGACAACAGCCACCAGAGUGUAGACUGAUGCUGAGAGAUGCUGCUUUAAGUGACACCCCAACUCUAUGCAUAAUGUACUGUUUCACCCUAUUGUUUCAGCCUAUGGUCCUGCAAAAUCAAAGGUCACCUCCAAAUUUAUAGUUUGCCAAAGAAAAUCAAUUAAACUCCUUUAACACAAAACCCAUAGUUCAGAAGCUCCAGCGGCAUAAAUUCCAUUCACUGACUCCCAUCAUGCAACCCUUAGUUAUUUGAUUUAGAGAAAAAUGGGGCAGUGUCCUUUUACCUCGCAGUUCCCAGUGUUUAACGAAGCCUCUAAAAUUUAGUCUUGUGGAGUGGAAAGGUUGCCUUCCAUGUAUUUCAUCCGAACGGCUAAUUACAGAGAAGGUGGUUUAUGUUCAUAAAACCAGAUGGAAACCCAUGUACAGAUCCUUCCCCUCCUUGUGCUCUUUUCCUGCCUAGAGUCUUGACGCUGCUGACAGCUUCGAGGGUCACCCAGCAUGAAUUAGUCACCUGGACCUGGGAACCAGCCAGCUAAUGUAAUGGACUGUCAAUGUGUGUCCAGAUCGACAGCAAUCGAUGGGGCAAGCUUAAAAAGAAUAAUUAGAGGCGACGCGAAAGAAAGACUCUGAAUACAGUGAGUGGAGUACAAUACAGCUCAUUAGUGGGCUUCUGAGGCCAGCGUCCCUUGCCCUUGGCAGUACUAGAGGUCCCCAGCUUCCUUUCUCUGGGCUUUGGGCCAUAGGAACUGGAGGGUGGCAGGCAGAAUUGUUUGUUCAAUUCCUUCGCUGCAUUUGGCUAGCACAAGCUGCUGGCACCAUGCAGCAGUCAUUUGUAGAAAGGCAUUCAUAUACAACGUGAUUGGCUGCUCUGCUCUGCUCUCUGUAGCCAAUUGCAAGUCAUUAGAGAGUUCUCCGGCAGUCUUCAUUGGCUUACCGUUGCAUCUGGAUGAAGCUCAAGAUGCAGAAUAGAAUUCGACAAAGGUACCCCUGGUUUGCUAACCUCCUCCGUACCCAGGGGGCAAACUGGCAUGUUAUGACCUGAAGCCUCUUUCUCUCUCGCUGCCACAAGAAAAGCCACUUUGGCAUGAGGAAAUUUGUAGUGGACCAACAGGGAGUAUGUGUGUACUCAAGCCUUGCCCCACACACAGUUUUUCUGAUCCAGACUUUCCUCAAGUUGCUUUCCACCACAUAUUCCCUAAAGGAGCAAAUGGCAGCUAAUCACUUAUAUGAAUUAUUAUUAAAGUAAGUGGCGCUGUGGGUUAAACCACAGAGUCUAGGACUUGCCAAUCAGAAGGUCGGUGGUUCGAAUCCCCGCGACGGGGUGAGCUCCCGUUGCUUGGUCCCUGCUCCUGUCAACCUAGCAGUUCGAAAGCACCUCAAAGUGCAAGUAGAUAAAUAGGUACCACUCCAGCGGGAAGGUAAACGGCGUUUCCGUGCACUGCUCUGGUUCGCCAGAAGCGGCUUAGUCAUGCUGGCCACAUGACCCGGAAGCUGUACGCCGGCUCCCUCGGCCAAUAAAGCGAGAUGAGCGCCGCAACCCCAGAGUCGGUCACGACUGGACCUAAUGGUCAGGGGUCCCUUUACCCUUUACCUUUAAGUAUGGGUAUUGUGGGAGAUUGCUAGGAUGGGGUCCAAACCCAACAACCUCCCCUGGUUUUCACAAUUUCUUGGUACAGUGGUACCUCGGGUUACAGACACUUCAGGUUACAGACUCAGCUAACCCAGAAAUAGUACCUUGGGUUAAGAACUUUGCUUCAGGAUAAGAACAGAAAUUGUGUGGCGGCAGUGGGAGGCCCCAUUAGCUAAAGUGGUGCUUCAGGUUAAUAACAGUUUCAGGUUAAGAAUGGACCUCCAGAACGAAUUAAGUUCUUAACCCGAGGUACCACUGUAAUAGCAAGCCUCAGCUCUCCCUUAGCAGACAUACUCAUUUUGUUGCCAUUUCCCUUUCUCCAUGCUGUCAUUUACUUCGUCAUAGGAUCAAGGUGGCCCCUACCUGCCUUGCCUUGCUCCCUCGUGCUCAUGGCAUUUCUUUUCAGAUUAAAUGUGAUGCCAGGGUUGGAGAUAAUCCUUCUCCCUGGUUACAGGUCUGUGGCUGGAAUAAACAGUUCCUUCCUUCCUGUGGUGCCAGAAAGUUAGAGAACCCAGGAAUUUGACUUUCUUCUGUUACCUUGUAAUGGGCAUGCCAUCGUAACCUAGCUCAGGAGUGAGAAACCUUCUGUCUGAGGGUCAGUCUCUUCUGAGCAACCUUCCAAGGACCACAUGCCAAUCAUGGUGGGGCGGAGGCAAAGGUGGGCGGAGCAAUUAAUGUAAAUUGUACCUUUGUGCUUCAUCCAUCAGGAGAAGCAGAGGGCAUGAUCAGAUUCCGAGGAUACUUUCCAGUCAGGCAAAGUCAUAGAAUCAUAGAAUUGAGGCGAGGAGAGUAGCCCACACAUUUGCCCGCUGUCAUAGCGCAACUUCUUUUGUUAUGGUGGUGCUUAAGUGGCAACCAUGAUCAUUAUCUCACAAAGAAACUGACUAGUUCAACAACUGAAUCCUCCAUUAGAUCUUAACUCCUACUGGGCACAGGAAGAAGGGGCUGAGGACGCCAUGCAGACCGACCACCCCACAAACUCACAACAGUAUCGUAAUGCUGUUCCCUAGUUCCCAACCUCAACUGCAAGGAACCCCGUAGGUGUGACCAUAUGUGUCUACAUCAGAGAAGGGGAAGCUGUAGCCCUGUGGUUGCUGUACUCCAGCUUCCAUCAGCCCCAGCCAGCAUAAUCAAUAGUCGAAGAUGAUGGAGUCCAGCAACAUCUGAAGCGUCACAGGUUCCUCAUCCCUGAUCUAUGUCACCAGGUGUCUUUGCAAAAAGAAGUCCUCCCUCUAGGUAACCCUAAGCCAUAAUCAUGAUAGGCAUUUUGCUUGUUCUUAAGAUAGCACAGAGAAACGUAUAAUUAUGUGGUUGUAAUGCUGCUCUAAAUGACUAGAAAGGAUGGAUAUAAUUGAAAAGGGAGAGUGCAUCUAUGUUAUCUGACUUAUGGACACCAGCUAAUAUAUUCUAAGCAUCAAAGGAAAAUAGAAAGAGCACAAAUAGACUAACCUCAUCAAUUACAUCAAAGCAACCAGAUUUCAUAAAUGGGGGGGGGGGGAUAUUGAAAUGUGAAUCAAAGAUGCAAACCUUCUCAUAGGUGAGAAGAAGAAUAUGUGCUCUUGUGUAAUAUAGCCUGCAUGACUCAAAUGCUUGUCUUCUAGUAUCCUCCCAUUUAUAAAAUGGUGCAUAAUUUCAGUUGUCCCUAUUUAUCAGGAAUAGUCCUGUUCUAUGACACAUCUUUCGUGGGCUGCAGAGCCUGAUCUCCCUGGGGAUGCCCUUGCAAAAUGUUGGGAUUGUGGUAAACUAGAGUUACCAUUCUUCUAGUUUCAAUCUCCCUUGCUCCUUAAACCUUUGAGUUGGGGAUGUGUGCAUUUUUAAGCCGAUAUUUCCAUCUCUCCACGGAUGUGCUAUAUAAGGUUUAAAAUUGAUUGCUGUUAAUCUAGCUGACUUUUUAGGGUUUUAGGAUUGCUUUAAAGGCUUAACAAGUGGGGCUCUGCAGCAAAGCGUUACAGAAUGGAGUGCGGCUGUUGAGAUUUUUAUUGCUAUUCCAUCCAGUUUUCUGCAACAAUCAUUCAGCCUCCCAUAUGCACAGAAUAUGCUCAGUCUGCAUUGGGCUGUUCAGGUUCUUCUGUCCCCCAUUCAGUUUUGUUUUUGUGAAUGUGGGGGAUUGGCACCCAAUCCCAGCUUCUCUUAACAUCAUGGAUUUCUUAAUUGACUUCUAUGGGCAGCUAUCUCUUCAGUCCUGGAUACAUUUUAAAAUGGCUAUUCAGUGUAAACCAGAAAAAUAGCCUACCUAGACAAUGGAAUAGUUAUCUCAACCUUUUUCUAUAUACCGACAUGCCUUCUUUUCCAGCCAAUCCACUCUGUUCCUCCUCCUACCAGCUUUGUGUUCCCCAACAGUCAGCCAAGCAAACAAUUCAAGCCCACUGAAUGAAUUCUGUCCUCACUGAGCUGUUUUGAGGUUUACCCUUUAGAGGGUGCUUUUAAAAAAAAACUGGGCAAAACUACCGUACUUUACACUUCUGGGGGUUUCCCUGAGUCUGUUGAUAACUCUCGUGUGUGUGUGUGUGCGUGUGUCCACAUGCUGUUGUGGCUUUGUAAGUGCUUGCCCUCUCCCCUAAAAGAUCAGAAAUAGAAUAUAAAGUGUUUGCAUUGUGCUCUUAUUUCUUUUCUUGUGUGCUCCUUUGAGUGCUCUUUGGCAGACAGUGCCCCUUGCAAAUGCCUGAAAUAAAUAUUAAAUAAUAAUCCUCUUGUUUAUCUCUUGAGCGCAGGCAUGUGAGCAGCGUGACUCUGGGGCGCUGUGUAGUGCAAAGCCUGCUGCCGCUUGCACAGUCCAUUUAUGUUGACUUUUUAAUCACAUUUAUAGCCCCCUUUUAAAAAUAAAACAAAUGACUUACAAUGUAGUGAACAUAAUUGAAUCGCAACUCAGAUCACAAUUAGAGAUCCUAAAAUCAACAUACACUAAAAAGAAACAUGAGGGAUAAAACUUCAAGCCAUAGAGCAAAAUGGUACUCAGACCCCUUGGAUCUAGUCCAACUCCUCAAAAGGUAAAGGUAAAGGUACCCCUGACAGUUAAGUCCAGUCAUGAACAACUCUGGAGUUGUGGUGCUCAUCUCACUUUACAGGCUAGGGGAGCCGGCGUUUGUCCGCAGGCAGCUUUUCCAGGUCAUGCGGCCAGCAUGACUAAGCCACUUCUGGUGAAGCCAGAGCAGCGCAGGGAAACGCCGUUUACCUUCCCAGCAGAGCAGUACCUGUUUAUCUACUUGCACUGGGUGCUUUUGAACUGCUAGGUUGGCAGGAACUCAUCCCGUCGUGGGGAUUCGAACCGCUGACCUUCCGAUCAGCAAGUCCAAGCAGCACAGUGGUUUAAACCACAGCGCCACCCACGUCCCAGUUAGUCUAACUCCUUAGUGUCUUCUUAUAAAGCAAGAAACUUGCAGUAAGAAGGGUGUCAGAAAAAGUAUCAUACAGUGGUACCUGGGGUUAAGAACUUACUUCAUUCUGGAGGUCUGUUCUUAACCUGAAACUGUUCUUAACCUGAAACUGUACCAUUUUAGCUAAUGGGGCCUCCCAUUGCUGUCGUGCCACCGCCACACGAUUUCUGUUCUCAUCCUGAAGCAAAGUUCUUAACCUGAGGUACUAUUUCUGGGUUAGCGGAGUCUGUAACCUGAAGCGUCUGUAACCUGAGGUACCACUGUAAUGGAAAGGUCUCUGACAGCCACUUGCCCGAAGAGUUUGCCCAUUCUCCUGAAGGACAGUCCAAACUAGAUGUUACGGGAAGCAUGUUUAAGAGUUUGUUUUUUCUCCUGUGUUCUGCCACAAAGCUUAGGACUUUGUAAGUCACCCAUGUGCCAAACCAUGUCAUUCAGUUAUGGAAUUCUGUUUCUUGUAGAGAUGCAUAAUGUCAUUCUACUGAUGAAGCUAAGCACGUGUGGGCUGGUAAGCAGAAGAGGAAACUUCAUGAGAACCAUUUUUAAGUUGCUUUGAGAUCUUCUGACAAAGAAUGGCAUUGAGGUGUAAUGCAUUCACAUAGCUGUCAAGUGUCCCUUAUUUGAAGGGACAGUCCCUUAUUCCAGCGCCAUGUCCCGCUGCUGUCCCUUAUUGAUGGAUGUCCCUUAAAUGUCCCUUAAAUGAUGUCCCUUAAAUUUCAAAGGAAGCAGCUCCUCUCCUUCCCUCCCUGCCAGCCAGGGAGGAGGGAGGCUCCAGCUGUGUUGCUUGGCUGUGUUGCUCACCCAAUAAGAAGUCUAAGAACGACUAGGGGGUGGAGCUUGCAUGCCUUGUGUGUGGCUAGUUAAUGCAAGCUGAGGGGUUUUUUGAAUGCUGGACGCCAUUUUAUUGCACAUGCUGCUGCAAACUUUGCAGUGCAAAGCCAGGCCGGGGAGCCAUCUUAAGUAGAGGCUGCAUAGGCCUUGCGGUGCAUGUGAUUCAGAUUCUAUUCAGUUGAACCUCUGGUUACAAAGUUGGUUGGACAGUGUUCUCGAAGCUACCAGCAUGAGUUUGACCAGACUGCAGGAGGACAGGAAGACUGGAGUGCCUGGAACAGGUGAGGCUGCAGGUCCCUUAUUGUGGCUGCUGGUCCCUUAUUUUCAAGGCUGCUGGUCCCUUAUUUUCAAAUCUGUAAGUUGACAGCUAUGAUCAUUCAUGCCACAAGUCACACCGAGUCCUGUGAAUGGAACUGCAUCAGAUUCUUUACAUCUACAGAGGUUCAUAUCCAUACAAACAUUCAUCGUUUCCCAUCCAGGAAGGAAUCUAUGCUUGGAAUCUGCUUCCAUAUUCACACAUUUCCCUUGCUUGGAUCAGUGUGACAAUGUUCAUCUUUGCUCAAGUAUUACCAAUGGACAUCCAUUCAUAAUCUCUGGAAGAUGGAUGUAUUUUAUUUUCCCUUUUAAAUCGCAGAAAUCUGCCCUGUUUCAGCUUGAUAUGAAGAUAAAAUAUAUUGGUUGGUGAGCUAUGACAAGGCUACAGUAAGGACACCGGCUGCCGGCAUGAUACAUUUGCUCGUCCAGUACCUCCCAACCUUUCACAGGUGCUUGUGUUGUAAUGAAGACAAAUAUAUCCAUUUAUUUCUCCAGGUUUUAAGGAAGGUAAAAAUAGAGCUAUUACAAUUAAAGAUCCCUUCUGGCAUUUAUUUGUAUAUUACCUUUCAACCACAUCCUGGACUAUUCGUUCAAGGUCAAAAUCACUGCACAUUAUGCCUGUAUUAAGGGAGAGGAGUAUAUGGAGUCCACACAGAGACACAGAUCUCUGCACCUUUAAAAUACAGAAACUUGUGGAAUACAAAAUACUACUGUGAAUACAAAUACUUUUGUAUUUUUAAUCACCCUUCACUAUAAGAUCCCCACAACUACUCUAUUCCGAACUUAAAAUUGGAAAGCAUAAUGCUGGUGGUCAACAAAAGAGGUUUAAAGACUCUCUCAAGGCAAAUCUUUAAAAGAAUGCAGUAUAAACACUGACAACUGGGAAACACUGACCUGCGAGUGCUCCAAUUGGAGAUCAGCCUUUACCAAAGGUGUCAUGGGCUUCGAAGAUGCUCAAACUCAGGACGAAAAGGAGAAGCAUGUGAAGAGGAAGGCACACUUGGCAAACCCUCACCAUGAUCAACUCCCGCCUAGAAACCUAUGUCCCCACUGCGGAAGGACGUGUGGAUCCAGAAUUGGCCUCCACAGUCACUUAUGGACUCACUGUUAAAACUGUGUUUAUGGAAGAUAUUCUUUUUGGAAGAAGAAGACUAUAAGGUCCCACAAUAGGUAACAUCUGGAAAAAUACAAUACAAUACAAUACAAUACAAUACAAUAAAAACACACCCACCCUAUAAUCUCAUACAAUAAAGUGCAUAUCAGCAAACCAGAGGAUAUACAUGGAAACGUUAACAACACUAGAUAACCUGCCAAAAGUUACAGAAAAGAGGUGUACCUUCAAUGACUGCCUAAAGUUGGAAAGACGUGGCACCUGUCUCACUGCUAUAGAGAGUGAGUUCCACAGUUUGGGGACCAUUACAGAGAAGGGUAUCUCACACGCUACAAAACUCACACACACACCCUGAGGGAGACUGCACCAGAAGAAAAGCUUUUCCAACAGAUUGUAAUACCCUGACUGGCACAUAGGGGUGGAGACACUCUUACUGAGAGCCAGUGUGGUGUAGUGGUUAAGAGCGGUAGUCUCGUAAUCUGGGGAACUGGGUUCACGUCUCCGCUCCUCCACAUGCAGCUGCUGGGUGACCUUGGGCCAGUCACACUUCUUUGAAGUCUCUCAGCCCCACUCACCUCAUAGAGUGUUUGUUGUGGGGGAGGAAGGGAAAGGAGAAUGUUAGCCGCUUUGAGACUCCUUAAAGGGAGUGAAAGGCGGGAUAUCAAAUCCAAACUCUUCUUCUUCUUCUUACAGGUAUCUGUGACCAAAGUUGUGACUGGACAAACCUGUGUAGAGCUUUGGAUUGAGUACAUAAGAGAAUAGCAACCAGUGCAGCUGUUUCAGGGCAGGUGCUUUCUCAUCCUAAUUGAUGUUCCAGCCCAAAGACAGAUGGUGGCAUUCUGCACUAGCUGUAGCCUCUGGACCAUCUUCAAGUGAGGCCUCAGAGGAUGCCAGAGCAUGGAGUACAGUGGCCAUUCAUGUCCAGCAAGGAUAGUAGCUCCUAGUCAGAGAAACCACCUGGGCCUCAAGUAGUGUCAGGGACUGGGCAGAGGAGGAGGACACUGGAGAGGGAGGUGAUGUUAGGGGCUGGGCGGAGGAGAAGCAGUGGUGGAGACCGCCUCUUCAUCCCGACCCUUCCAGGGAGGAGGAAGAGGAGGAAAAAGACAGUAUAGAUUUAUAACAGGAGUUUGCAGGAGGUCACAGCUCAGAGGCAGAUGAGGGGGGAAGCUGGGGAAAAAUGGGAGAGAAGGAACAGGCAGAGCCGGAGCAGUAGCUGGCUGACACAUUGUCACUAGAAAGCUUUCCAGACCCACCAUCUCCCAGAACCUUGCGAGUCUUAAAAGUAGGAGAGCAAAGAGCUGUAAGACAGAGGACACUUAGCGACACCAGUAGAAGAGAUGAUGGUGACGAAUUAGGAAGUGGGAGAGAAUUAAAAAACCUGAAGCAUUUUUAUUAGUGAUUGUAGGGAAAGAUCUGCCAAAAAAGCUGAAAAACAUCUUCAUGUAUGCAACAACGGCUGAUAGAGUUCUGGUAGCACAAGGAUGGAAGACUGAAGAAACCCCAACUAAGAAACAUGGCAAGAAAAAUUGAUGGACUAUGCAGAACUGGCAAAACUGACAUACAAGCUACGGGACAAGGAUAACUGUGACUUUAAAGAAGAAUGGGAACCCUUUACGAAGUAUUUGAAGAUACAACAAAGUGAACUGGACUCCUCGGCUGGUUUUGAAUAAACAUUCACAAACUUUUUAUUGAUAAUAAUCAGCUAGAUAGUUUGAGGAUUUAUACAACUGUGUAACAUUCAGAAAACAGCAUUCUUAGAGAACUCAAAGACUGGAACUGAGGGAAGUCGGGGGUGGGGGUGGAUGGGUUCUGUUGGGGGAGGGAGGAAAAAUGGGGGGAAAUAAGGAUGAUAUGUUUCUGGAUAAUAUGUUUUGUUUUAAUUUUGAAUAAAAGUUAUUUAAAAAACAAAAAAGGAAGUGGGAGAGAAGGAGGGGUGGAGAUUCACUCGGGACAACGCCAUUCUCCAAGAGGCUGGGUUCUAUAGCCUCUCUUUGUAAUGUUUGAAAUAAAAAAGGACUGUAAGACACUUUCCCUUGUUUUUAUACUUCCCUGCAAAACCAGCUGGGUGCCACUGACAGCACCCUGAGAAGAUUGUCCUUGGGAGGGUCAGGAUGGGGAGACGGACUCCACCACUCCUCCUCCUGUGCCCAGUCCCUGACAAGUGGCAAUAAUGACUCCAGGAUAGACCCCCAUUAUGUAUCUAUUCCUUCUAGUUGAGUGCAAGCUCAUCCAGAACAGGCCACCUCAUGGACCUGAUGACUUGGGACACAUAACACGUUUCUUUUAUCUGGAUUCAGCUUCAAUUCGUGGAUGAUGAAGAGACUGAGAUGUAUGCAAAACGCCUCUGAAGAAGGGCCGCCUGCUAAAGAAAAGAUCCCAUAGAUUCCCUGAAUAAAUCUUUAAAUAAAUAGAGUCCCCAAUAAAUCUUUU
This 10029-nucleotide long non-coding RNA is filed under the name Podarcis lilfordi (Lilford's wall lizard). Lineage: Eukaryota; Metazoa; Chordata; Lepidosauria; Squamata; Lacertidae. The record is from RNAcentral.